RNAcentral lists this ribosomal RNA (253 nucleotides) under uncultured bacterium. RNAcentral describes it as "partial 16S ribosomal RNA". It matches the Rfam family "Bacterial small subunit ribosomal RNA", at positions 524 to 776 of the family's 1533-position model. The record is from RNAcentral.
GACGUAGGGCGCGAGCGUUGUCCGGAUUUAUUGGGCGUAAAGAGCUCGUAGGCGGCUUGUCGCGUCGAAUGUGAAAACUCGGGGCUCAACUCCGAGCUUGCAUUCGAUACGGGCAGGCUAGAGUUCGGUAGGGGAGACUGGAAUUCCUGGUGUAGCGGUGAAGUGCGCAGAUAUCAGGAGGGACACCGGUAGCGAAGGCGGCUCGCUGGGCCAUUCCUGACGCUGAGACGCGAAAGCUAGGGGAGCGAACAGG